RNAcentral lists this ribosomal RNA (495 nucleotides) under uncultured bacterium. RNAcentral's name for it is "partial 16S ribosomal RNA". It matches the Rfam family "Bacterial small subunit ribosomal RNA", at positions 28 to 507 of the family's 1533-position model. The record is from RNAcentral.
GACGAACGCUGGCGGCGUGCCUAAUACAUGCAAGUAGAACGCUGAAGGAGGAGCUUGCUUCUCUGGAUGAGUGGCGAACGGGUGAGUAACGCGUAGGGAACCUGCCUGGUAGCGGGGGAGAACUAUUGGAAACGAUAGCUAAUACCGCAGAAGAGUAGAUGUUGCAUGACAUUUGCUUAAAAGGUGCAAUUGCAUCACUACCAGAUGGAGCUGCGGUGUAUUAGCUAGUAGGUGGGGUAACGGCGCACCAAGGCGACGAUGCAUAGCCGACCUGAGAGGGGGGUCGGCCCGCCUGGGACUGGGGCACGGCCCCGGCCCCUGCGGGGGGCAGCCGUAGGGGAUCUUCGGGCAUAGGCGGAAGUCUGGCCGGGCCACGGCGCGUGGGUGGAGAAGGUUUUCGGGUCGUAAAGCUCUGUUGUGGGGGAAGAACGAGUGUGGGAGUGGACUGUUCACACUGUGACGGUACCUUACCAGAAAGGGACGGCUAACUACGUG